ACAUGUUCCAUUCCUGAUGCCUUGCCGUCGCAUCUCAGUUCACAGAACAAAAACUGUACAUCCGGUUCUACAAUAGAAUAUAAUUCGACAUGUUCCUUUGCCUGUGAAACUGGAUACAACAUUUCAGAUUCUACGUCGAUAUCUUGUACAGAAAGUGGAGCGUUGUCAACAGACCUUCCAAAUUGCACAGUUGUGACGUGUUCCAUUCCUGACGACUUCCCGCCACAUGUGAUCCCGAUGAACAAUGAAUGUUCGUCUGGAUCUAUCGUGGAAUAUAAUACAAUAUGUUCCUUUGCCUGUGAUACUGGAUACAGAAGUUCAGAUUCUACGUCGAUAUCUUGUACAGAAAAUGGAGCGUUGUCAACAGACCUUCCAAAUUGCACAGUUGUGACGUGUUCCAUUCCUGAUUCCUUCCCACCAUAUGUGAGCCCAAUUAACAAUGACUGUACAUCCGGUUCUACAAUAGAAUAUGAUUCGAUAUGUUCCUUUGCCUGUGAUACUGGAUACAGAAGUUCAGAUUCUAUGUCGAUAUCUUGUACAGAAAGCGGAGCUCUAUCCGCUGAUCUCCCUAACU
Molecule: long non-coding RNA, 574 nt
Organism: Strongylocentrotus purpuratus (purple sea urchin)
Lineage: Eukaryota; Metazoa; Echinodermata; Echinoidea; Camarodonta; Strongylocentrotidae
Exons: 3
Source: RefSeq, a predicted model, not a curated record